AUCCAAGGUCAUAUUACCCUGCAGCCCAAGAUCGUUUACUCACUGAAGCUGAGCAGGGCUGAGCCUGGUCAGCACCUGGAUGAGAGACCACAUGAGAAAACUAGGUUGCUGUUGAAA
This 117-nucleotide ribosomal RNA is filed under the name Danio rerio (zebrafish). Lineage: Eukaryota; Metazoa; Chordata; Actinopteri; Cypriniformes; Danionidae. The record is from RNAcentral.